Magallana angulata is the source of this 617-nucleotide long non-coding RNA. RefSeq lists it as uncharacterized. The record is from RefSeq and is a predicted model, not a curated record. Lineage: Eukaryota; Metazoa; Mollusca; Bivalvia; Ostreida; Ostreidae. The transcript is spliced from 2 exons.
UCCCAUUUUCGCAAAUUUUUUGACAUGCAAAAAAAACUGGAUAUACGGUAUGUUACAACAUGGAGGUGUCUCGUACCACCUUAAAAAAAAUGUGGAAGGAAGAAUAUUUUUUCAUUAACCUGCAGUUUUAACCUCAGUCUGACUUACUGAGAGCAAUACAUGUUGGUUUAUGGAUGUUCUUACAUCUAUCAUUAUAUAUUUCUUCCAGGUUUUUAGCUUUGUAUAAAGGACUGCUACCAAAAGUACUGAGAUUAGGCCCAGGAGGAGCAAUCAUGUUGCUGGUCAAUGAAUACGCUUUUAAAUGGAUGAAGGAGAAUAUGUGAUAUUUAGAUCAACACAUAAACUAUAAAUACUUUUAUAAGUGAUUAUAUGAUAAUAAAAAAAAAACCAACUAUAUGUGCCAAAUAUUUAUACAAUAAUUGUGCAUGCAUUUGUUGACAAACAUUUUAAUUCAAACUAUGCCGUCUAAAAUGUGUAUAUUGGAUAUUUGAUUAUUGCUGGAUUUUUGUAUAUUUCAAAGAUGACCAGGUAUUUUCCAUUUUAUUUAUCAGUGCUACUUUUUUAUUCAUUGUCUCAAGAUGAUAUUUUGAUUAUAAACAUUAAAAGUAUUCACUAUA